GUCUACAGCCAUACCACCCUGAACCUGCCUGAUCCCUUCUAUCUUGGAAGCUAAGAAGGGCUAGGCCUGACUAGUACUUAGAUGGGAGACUGGGUAAAUAAAGUUUUGUAUAUU
This is a ribosomal RNA of Bison bison bison, 114 nucleotides long. NCBI's taxonomy places the organism in Eukaryota, Metazoa, Chordata, Mammalia, Artiodactyla, Bovidae. The record is from Ensembl.